UACAGAGGGUGCGAGCGUUAAUCGGAAUUACUGGGCGUAAAGCGUGCGUAGACGGCUAUCUAAGUCGGGUGUGAAAGCCCCGGGCUCAACCUGGGAAUUGCAUUCGAGACUGAAUAGCUAGGGUACGGUAGAGGGAAGUGGAAUUUCCGGUGUAGCGGUGAAAUGCGUAGAUAUUGGAAGGAACAUCAGUGGCGAAAGCGACUUCCUGGACCAGUACCGACGUUCAGGCACGAAAGCGUGGGGAGCAAACAGG
RNAcentral lists this ribosomal RNA (253 nucleotides) under uncultured bacterium. Its description in RNAcentral is "partial 16S ribosomal RNA". It matches the Rfam family "Bacterial small subunit ribosomal RNA", at positions 524 to 776 of the family's 1533-position model. The record is from RNAcentral.